RNAcentral lists this small RNA (3723 nucleotides) under Pongo abelii (Sumatran orangutan). RNAcentral's name for it is "processed transcript". Lineage: Eukaryota; Metazoa; Chordata; Mammalia; Primates; Hominidae. The record is from RNAcentral.
GGCACUGGGAGGGUUGGUGUUGCUGCUCAGCACUGGGGCUCAAAGCCCUCCCCACACCCCCAUUAUCCUCAGCCUCCCCAGGCUCCAUCCGGCAGGAGGGAGCAGAUGGUGGGCCCUGCCUCCUGGCCUUGAGACCAGAGGACAGCCCAGGGUUUGGAGCAGGUGAAAGUCUGAGCUGCUUCUGCAAGUGCAGCCUUUGUUCCGAGGAAGCAGGGCUGCCCCGCACUCCGGUGUGCAGGGGGGCAGCUGGCUUUUCCCUUUGCAGAGCUCUGUCUCCUGUGCCGCUCCCCAGGAGGGGCGUCCUGUCUUGGGCCAGCAUGACCGCCGUCUCCCUGCUGCGGAAGGGGAGGGCCCCCUUUCUGUGGGCCUUUGUCUGUCAAAUGACGACGAGUUCUCUGGAUAGAACAAGGUUAGAAACGCCACCUGACACCGGCCUGCGAUGCCCGUCACUGUCCUGGAGCCAGAUGGAUGGAGGAGAGACCUUGGGGCUGGGCUGGGUCAGCUGACUCCAGAGUGGACACCAGGCAGUGCCCAGGGAGGGGACUCCUGGAAGAAGCCGGCCUCUUGACUUAGGGUUAAGUGUCUUCUGGUUUGAAGACACAAGAGUCUGGAUUUGCCCAAUACUUGGGGUUCUCAGCUUUUCUCCAACCUGGUUCAUCACAGAGUGACCAGCAUUGGCCUGGCAAUGGUGCCUUCACAUGGGAGCGAAAAGGACCAGCCUGAGGUGAGGAGGAUGGGUCCUGUGUCCCCACUCUCCCCUGAGCCCAGGGCCUUGCAGUGGCCUUGACCUUCAGCCCUGGGCUUCUCCCUGGCCGAGCCCCCGGCAGCAUCCCUCAGCCCAGCCCGGCCCGUUCAGCCCUGGGCUUCUCCCUGGCCGAGCCCCCGGCAGUGUCCCUCAGCCCAGCCUGGCCCGUUCAGCCUUUGGCUGGGGCCAGUCACUGAGGGUGGCUUCCCUGGGACGUCCCGGGCUUCCUUGAAGGAGCUGCUCUUAGCGCAAUUCUGCAGAUGGAUGGGGGCGUCUGUGCUGAGCCCUCCACUGUCUUGGGCUCUUCUAAUAUCACACUGAGCACUGGGCGUUGUUCGUCCCACUCUACGGAUGAGAAAGUCGGGGCUCAUGUAGGUGGAGGAAACUGCCUGAGCACCAGAACCCGGGGAGGCGCUGAGGCUGGACCGAGCCUGCUGUGCCGAGCCUGCUGUAGCCGUGUUGCUGCAUAUUUACCAGGCAGGGACUCAGUUUCCCCCGGGGUGCAACUGAGGGCUGGGCUGGGGGAUCACAAAGAGGGAGGCAGCAUGAGGUGCUUGUGGGGGCUCUGGGCUGCACGUUCCAGCAGGAGCAGGGGCGACGGCCCGCGUCUCUGAACAGGCUCUUCUAGUGGUGCUGGGCAGGACCCGGGUGUGCCCCUCCCGUGGGCCGGAGUGACUCUACAGCCCAGGCCUGGACUCCUCUUGGGCUGCACGUGAGAGCCAGGCUGUGGGGCAGGGAGCCAGAGGCAGAGGCAGAGGCAGAGGCAGGGGCGAGGCAGCUCCUCCCAGCUGCACCCCGAGACACUGGAGAAGCUGUCUCUGAGCUCUUCCCGCUUGCCGUCCAGACCAAGCGCUGAAAUCAAAGACAGAACUGAUACUCUCAGAGCCACUUCAUCGGAGAAGAUUAGGGUCAGGCAGCUGUGGGCAGCUCACGGCCGGCACGGGGUUUCCCUCUGGGAUGCCAGGAUUUGAUCUCCCUGCGCAGGAUUUUCCAUAGGAAAAGUCAGUCCCGUGCGCCUCCUUUAAGCCUUAACCAAAGAGGGGUUCCUCCGUCAGUCCUGCGGGGGCCCGUGGCCCCCAGCUGUUCCAUGUGUGCACACUUGGAACCACAUCUAAGUCCUCGCUGUCCAGAGGCCUUUUCUCAUCACCCACGCUCAUCCUCAGCCCUUCCUGCCUUCAGCCAUGCCCGAGGAUCUGCCCUGGGUGGUAGAUCUGCCCUGGGUGGAGGCUCUGCCCUGGGUGGUGGGUCUGCCCUGGGUGGUGGGUCUGGGAUGGCCAAGGCAGGUGCAGCCCUCCUGGGCCCUUCAGUCGGCUGGGGCAAGAGUUGAUCAACAGUCUCCGUGGCGGGGAACAGGAGGGACCUGUCCUGUGAGAGGGGAGUCAGGGAGGACUCUUGGGAAGAUGGUCUUUCAUUCAAGGCCUGAAUGAGAAUCAGCCAGAUGUGCCAGGGUCAGGCAGGUGGGGACGAGUGCACAGGGAGGGGCUCAGCAUCUUCUAGAACCAACCACACACCUGCAAGAGAGAAGACAGGGUAGACCCCUGCGGCCCCCUGGGGCUGAGACGGCAUUAGGACGGUACUCCAGUUGCCCCCAUCCUUUCCCGAGACCCUCCUGGACCUAAGCUCCGGGAGGCAGGAGUGCCCCGGUGUUCCGUCCUUGUCCUCACGGGACUCAGAGCCUCCCUUCACAAGAUGCCGCUGGGCUCACCUGUCCUGGUGGCUUUCCUGAGCCAGGAAUAGAGUCUUCACCUGACCUAACCUGAGGCCAUGCCCAGGCCACUCUGAAGUGAGAUCCGGCGGCCUGGGGAGGUUCAGGGGCUCAUAGGUGGCUGCGCCCAACCCUGCCACACUUCUCCUGGACCUAUCAGAGGCAUGUGCUGUGGUCAGUGCCUGGAGACAGAGCAGCUCCAGGCCACCCACCCUUCCGGUCUGCAGCAUCUCACCCCACACAAGGCCCCAGCACCACAAGCCCAUUCUCCCCAUUCCUUGGAGUGGACCCUGGUGGCAGCAUCUGCAGGGGGGUUCCAGGCAGCCUCACCGCAGGCACCAUGGAAGCACAGAAGAGCUGCCUUGUGCCAGCACAGGGCACGCAGGGACGUCUGGGUGCCCCGGCUGGCAGGCACUCUCCCCGCAGGCAGGGUCUAGUGCAUCCGUGUGUGAUGUCUGUGAUUGGGCUUGGUGCUGGGAGCGUAAUGAGGAGCCUCCCCAGCCUCCCCAGACCCUGUCGCUGAUGGGGGAAGGACACGUGGCCAUCAUAACACAUACAUCACCAAACGUGGGCUUCCAGCGCGGAGGAAGCAAAUUAAACACCGCAAACGAGCGUCAGGGUAAUUAUCCCCACCAGGUCUGGGACAGGGUCCAGGCCUCCCUGAGAACGGGGCAGACGCGUGUCGAGCGCUUAAGAGAUGGGGAACUGGGGCAAAGGUGCUGGUGCCGCAACAGCCCAGACACAGAGGAGGGUCCAGGCCGCCCCACGUCCCCAUCUGCUGCGAGGAAGAGAACGAUUUGGAGAGGAGCUGAAAGUCAAGUGAGUGCAGCCCAUGAGGGGAAGCUCGUUGAUUUAAUUCCGGAUGGUUAGGAGGCUCGGAGGUGCCAUCGGAGCCGUGAAUAUUCACGAGCCGGCAGCCUUGCCCAGGUAGCCAAGGCCAGGCUGGUGGCUGCGUUGGCUCCGCUCAUUUUUGAAACGACACAGCACUUCUGGAUUGGAGACGUGACGAGCUAUUUGUAGACAUGUCCUUGUUGAUAAGGAAACAGCGCUGGUUGACAGAACUCUCCACCCUCCGGCUCGGCUGGGCUCUUCUCCCAGGGGUGGGGCGGGGGCAGCCGAGUCCCCGGGCACUGGCGGCCCGGGUUUGGGGAAUGGGGCGUCAAGAAGCUGUGAGAGUGGAGAAGGGCCCUGGGCUGGGUCAGGCUGAACUGGGUCCCUCUCCCCAGCCCUAGGCUCUCAUCAUGGGAGUAACAGAAUAAUAAUGUCACCCCAU